This 546-nucleotide ribosomal RNA is filed under the name Solicoccozyma terricola. Its description in RNAcentral is "eukaryotic LSU rRNA". The stretch from base 115 to 268 matches the Rfam family "5.8S ribosomal RNA". Lineage: Eukaryota; Fungi; Basidiomycota; Tremellomycetes; Filobasidiales; Piskurozymaceae. The record is from RNAcentral.
UAUCCAUAACACCUGUGAACUGUAAGGCUGUCUUGAAAACGAAAGUGAUUAGAGCGCCUGCCCAUUUUAUACAAACAUUAAAGUAACAAACGUAGUCUUAUUAUAAUCUAAUAAAACUUUCAACAACGGAUCUCUUGGCUCUCGCAUCGAUGAAGAACGCAGCGAAAUGCGAUAAGUAAUGUGAAUUGCAGAAUUCAGUGAAUCAUCGAAUCUUUGAACGCACCUUGCGCUCUUUGGUAUUCCGAAGAGCAUGCCUGUUUGAGUGUCAUGAAAAUAUCAACCUUGACUUGGGUUUAGUGCUCUUGUCUUGGCUUGGAUUUGGCUGUUUGCCGCUCGAAAGAGUCGGCUCAGCUUAAAAGUAUUAGCUGGAUCUGUCUUUGAGACUUGGUUUGACUUGGCGUAAUAAGUUAUUUCGCUGAGGACAAUCUUCGGAUUGGCCGAGUUUCUGGGACGUUUGUCCGCUUUCUAAUACAAGUUCUAGCUUGCUAGACAUGACUUUUUUAUUAUCUGGCCUCAAAUCAGGUAGGACUACCCGCUGAACUUAAG